This is a long non-coding RNA of Bos indicus x Bos taurus (hybrid cattle), 372 nucleotides long. The record is from Ensembl. Lineage: Eukaryota; Metazoa; Chordata; Mammalia; Artiodactyla; Bovidae.
UGAAUCACUUUUGAAGAAUGCUGCUGCAACAUGUUUCGGGAAAAUAGCCUUUCUUUCCAGACCUGGGUGUUAAAGCAUUACAGAGUUAUCAUGAGUUAUGGGGACCUUUGACUGGACAUGAGGUAGAGGGACUGUUGUGUGGUCAGCGUGAUUUCUACAGUCCCAGUGACACGGGCUGUACACUUUUAUCACAAGCCAUUAACAAAUCAUGAUUUCUGGCUCCGGCUUCCUUACCUGGAAAGCAGAGCUCCAAAUAAUUCCCUGAUCAGAUGGCAUGUGAGCUGUGGUUAUCAUGGAUCCAACAUCAUGAAUGAGCUUCAAAAGGAGUCGCCUUUUCCUUCGAGACUCUCAGCCCCUGUAUAUGUGCGUGUC